CCAGCUCUCUUUGCCAUCAUGGCUAAGAUCAAGUGUAGUAUCUGUUCUUACCAGUUUAAUCACUGAUAUCCCUGCAUUGUAGGACAUAUUGAUUAUUCUAUUUUUUGAAACCAGUGACUGGCCUCCGUGCUUGCAUACGCCAGUUGCACAGUGUCACUGGGCUCACACUACCCCCGGUUGACGCGAACUCCU
RNAcentral lists this small nuclear RNA (192 nucleotides) under Penicillium vulpinum. RNAcentral describes it as "U2 spliceosomal RNA". It matches the Rfam family "U2 spliceosomal RNA". Rfam says of the family: U2 is a small nuclear RNA (snRNA) component of the spliceosome (involved in pre-mRNA splicing). Complementary binding between U2 snRNA (in an area lying towards the 5' end but 3' to hairpin I) and the branchpoint sequence (BPS) of the intron results the bulging out of an unpaired adenosine, on the BPS, which initiates a nucleophilic attack at the intronic 5' splice site, thus starting the first of two transesterification reactions that mediate splicing. The record is from Rfam by way of RNAcentral. Lineage: Eukaryota; Fungi; Ascomycota; Eurotiomycetes; Eurotiales; Aspergillaceae.